Molecule: non-coding RNA, 23 nt
Filed under: Arabidopsis thaliana (thale cress)
Lineage: Eukaryota; Viridiplantae; Streptophyta; Magnoliopsida; Brassicales; Brassicaceae
Source: RNAcentral
UUAGGAGCUUCACGCCACGUGUU